Molecule: ribosomal RNA, 256 nt
Filed under: uncultured cyanobacterium
Lineage: Bacteria; Bacillati; Cyanobacteriota
Description: partial 16S ribosomal RNA
Rfam family: Bacterial small subunit ribosomal RNA
Source: RNAcentral
AACCGUGGCUCAGUUCAGAUCGUAGGCUGCAACUCGCCUACGUGAAGGAGGAAUCGCUAGUAAUCGCAGGUCAGCAUACUGCGGUGAAUACGUUCCCGGGCCUUGUACACACCGCCCGUCACACCAUGGAAGUUGGCCACGCCCGAGGCCGUUACUCCAACCCUUGUGGAGGAGGACGUCGAAGGUGGGGCUGAUGACUGGGGUGAAGUCGUAACAAGGUAGCCGUACCGGAAGGUGCGGCUGGAUCACCUCCUAA